UAACACGUAUCCAACCUGCCGUCUACUCUUGGACAGCCUUCUGAAAGGAAGAUUAAUACAAGAUGGCAUCAUGAGUCCACAUGUUCACAUGAUUAAAGGUAUUCCGGUAGACGAUGGGGAUGCGUUCCAUUAGAUAGUAGGCGGGGUAACGGCCCACCUAGUCUUCGAUGGAUAGGGGUUCUGAGAGGAAGGUCCCCCACAUUGGAACUGAGACACGGUCCAAACUCCUACGGGAGGCAGCAGUGAGGAAUAUUGGUCAAUGGGCGAGAGCCUGAACCAGCCAAGUAGCGUGAAGGAUGACUGCCCUAUGGGUUGUAAACUUCUUUUAUAAAGGAAUAAAGUCGGGUAUGGAUACCCGUUUGCAUGUACUUUAUGAAUAAGGAUCGGCUAACUCCGUGCCAGCAGCCGCGGUAAUCCGGAGGAUCCGAGCGUUAUCCGGAUUUAUUGGGUUUAAAGGGAGCGUAGAUGGAUGUUUAAGUCAGUUGUGUAAGUUUGCGGCUCAACCGUAAAAUUGCAGUUGAUACUGGAUAUCUUGAGUGCAGUUGAGGCAGGCGGAAUUCGUGGUGUAGCGGUGAAAUGCUUAGAUAUCACGAAGAACUCCGAUUGCGAAGGCAGCCUGCUAAGCUGCAACUGACAUUGAGGCUCGAAAGUGUGGGUAUCAAACAGGAUUAGAUACCCUGGUAGUCCACACGGUAAACGAUGAAUACUCGCUGU
RNAcentral lists this ribosomal RNA (714 nucleotides) under uncultured bacterium. RNAcentral describes it as "bacterial SSU rRNA". It matches the Rfam family "Bacterial small subunit ribosomal RNA", at positions 111 to 823 of the family's 1533-position model. The record is from RNAcentral.